Molecule: long non-coding RNA, 380 nt
Organism: Maylandia zebra (zebra mbuna)
Lineage: Eukaryota; Metazoa; Chordata; Actinopteri; Cichliformes; Cichlidae
Source: RefSeq, a predicted model, not a curated record
UCUGAUUUCCUCGUGUCAGCAUUGUUCCCACAUCAUCAUAAUUAAUGUUGUUCCAGGUUCAACAUUGCAAGUGACCAAUCACCUUCUUGUGACGUCAUUCCUUUGCGACUUCGAAAUACCCGCCUUCGAUUAUUUCGAAAUACAAGUGAAGAAGCGAAAAACCGCCGCCUGUCCGCCGAAUUUGAAGUCAAUUUAGGAUACUUUCCUUUAAUAAACGAAACUGUGACUCCUUCACAAUGUCAGAUUACCUUGUGGGAGUAGCUGGACCAAACUCUAUUGUAUUUCAAGUUUGAAAUCCCUGUUUGACCAGACUAACAUUUCAGAUGAGGUAAUAGAUGGCCUAAUCUAUUUGCAGUGUGAGAAUUUCCCUCACAUUUAUC